CAGGCGGUUAUAACUUGGGAGGGUCCUGAUGGAGAAUUCGUCAUGAAGAUGAGCCAUCCAUACAGAAACGUCUGCUGUGUAAUACUUUGUAUUGAUAGUCCACCCAUGGGCGAGUACUUCAAAUGAUGAAUCGGAAGCAUCUUCAAAAUCCACCGACAGUAAUCGAGAGAGAAGAGUGCGUUUGCCAACGUUGGAGGAUCCGAUCAUGAAGAUGCC
Molecule: unclassified non-coding RNA, 216 nt
Filed under: Hevea brasiliensis (rubber tree)
Lineage: Eukaryota; Viridiplantae; Streptophyta; Magnoliopsida; Malpighiales; Euphorbiaceae
Source: RNAcentral